AGACUCACCAGUUCCUGCUUUGAUGUGACAUGUGACUCCCCAGAAUACAUCUUGCUUCUGUAGACCAGCUCCAACAGGAUUCCAUGGUAGCUGGAAUGUUAGGGCUCAGGUUUUAUUAGAGAUUGGGAGGGAGCAAGUCCGUGGGAGGUUGUAACCAGCCAUUUGAAGCUAAUUCUCUAACCCAUGUGGAAUUGAUCCUAUUGUGUGGUAUGUGAUGCAAUGGAAGUGGUCAUAGGAAGCAAGUCACAGCCCCGUCCCCCAUACUUGCUCUGGCAGUUCACACGUGCUCAUUCCAGGUAAAUGCCAGGCUCUGAGAAGGGAGUUCCAGUGGGCUCUGGGCUGCAAGAACAGUAUUCAAUCUUCCCAUUGUAUUUUCUCCCUGGUUAGUGUUUUGACACAGGGAAGUGACUGAAUGUGCUGAUUUUUUUUUCUUGUCACCAGGUGUGUUACUUUUUUAGCCAGUCCCCAGAGUUAUCUAUGGGGUGGAGGUUUUAGUCCCUGCUGCUUGCCCACUGCUUCCCCAUGACUUUGAACCCCUGUCAUCCAAAGCCAGGGUCAGUGUAGGGCGGGGGUGCAGGCUGCUGCUGGGGAGGUUGCUGGGACAGGUGGAACCUCCAUCCGUACCUGUGUGUCUCUUUCUGGGUGUUCCAGCAGUGCAGGCUCCCUGGGGCACUGCGGCCCUUCUCUGCUCUCCCCCUUCUCAGCAGUUCCCCAGGGAAACCCCCCAGCCUAUUAACUGGCCUUUCCGUGGAGGGCACUAGUGGUAUUCCAGGCCCUUCCAUUUGCCACCAGCAAACUGCCCUCGGGCCAGCCUGGCUCCGAGGUCCUGUCGUUGUGCCCUUGAAGAUUUCCUAGGGCUGUUGGGGAGUCCUGUGUGCAGACCUCGCUGACGGGUCCCUCCUGCACUCUCGUAUCUGAGCAGGGUAGAGCGGUGCGACCAGUACGGGACUCACACGGAGCCUGAUGGCGCCGUAUCUACAGCAGUCUCUCGGAGUACCUCAGCCGUCGCUGGCACCCUUAUUUGCCAGCACCGAUAGAGAUUUCCCUUCUUUUUUCUAUUUUGUUGGCCGUUUCAGCGGGCUCAGACGUCAUCACUGGGAAAAAGAAGCUUGUCGGGCGUGCAGAUAGGAGGUGACCUACACUAUAGGGGGAGACACAGUAAGGAAAACAAAGUGAGCUGGCUCUUCUGCAGAGUUCUCUCAUCUGUUACUGGAGAUCUCCUUUCUGCCCCUUUUUUCCCCCAAACACAUAUUGUUUCCAUUGAAAAUUUAUUUUGGCAGAUAUUCUGUUCUUCAACAAAAGCAGCCAACGUUCUGAUAAAAGUCUGUAAAACUUAAAGUAUACCAAGGUAAGAAGAAAACAGCACCAACAGAAAAGUGGGGGAAGAGGUAGCUGUGGGAAUGUACUGCCAGGGACCAAAAAGGCAAAUAUGUGAGUGCACGUGGAAACUGGCUGCUGGGAUGUUGAAGACUGGAUAUUUGUCGGGGCACCUGCGUGGCUCAGGCGGUUGAGCAUCAGACUUCGGCUCGGGUCCUGAUCUCGCGGUUCGUGGGUUCAAGCCCCGCGUCGGUCUCUGUGCUGACGGCUCGGAGCCUGGAGCCCGCUUGGGAUUCUGUGUCUCCCUCUCUCUCUCUGCCCCUCCCCUGCUCCCGCUCUGUCAGUCUCUCUCUCAAAAAUAAAUAAAUGGUAAAAAAAAAAAAAUGUUUUUUAAAAGACUGGAUAUUUGUCAUGAGGACACUGGAGGCCCAGGGUCCGGGCACUCGCGCAGAGGAUCUCCAUGAGCACCCUGAGGCAUGUAGGAGCAAAGGCACCGGGGAACGUGAUGGAAGAGAAGUUGCUGGCUGUGGAAGGUGGAGAAUGGAGAGCAAGGUCAAACAACAUGGGCUUUCCAGGGGAAGAGACGAAAUAGCAGAAACAUCAGGAAUGAGGAUUGGGUUCUUGGUUUCCUCCCGUUCUCCUCUCCUCUGGCCAGCUCCCCGCACAGUUGCCUUCAUGGAGACAGCCGCGGGUGAAGCCACCCUGCUUGGGUUGCCGUCGUGAUCCACAACCUCACCAGCUCUACCAUCUUGGACCCUCCCCUCCUCCCGCUGCCAGCAGCCUCACAUCCUCGGGUCACAGUGUUGCCAUCUCAUCCAUAUUCUGGAGUUCUUCCCCUCCCUUCCGGGGUCUCCCCUUUCACAACACUCCUCACAACUGCCGAUUUCAGUACUGUCUGCUUUAGAAGAUGGUCAGCACCAGCAGAAAGAGAAGUGGGUGCUGGUAGAAAGCUUGUCUCUUUGCUGUAGCGCCCCCGGCCCUGGCACAGCUCAUCUGCCGUACCUCGAAGGUGCUUGAAGGAUGUCAGCUACUGGAUGAGUGAGUCGGGGAGAUGAAACGUUCCUUCGCGCCACUCCCAGCGGCCUCGCUGUGAUCACUUCUGUUUAAAGUUUGCCCCUACCCGCUAAGCACUCCAGAGUGGAAGCAGUUUCUGCUGCCCUCUGUUACUCCUGUCUAGUUCCAGACCAUUUUCAUCAACUCCAAAGGAAACCCUGUGGACAGCAGCCCGGCAGUUCCUCAGAAGGUUAAACAUAGAAUUCGCAUAGGACCCAGUAUUUCCACUCUAGGUACAGACCCGAGAGAAUUGAAAACACACACCCAUGCAGAAACUCGUACACAGAUGUGAUAGCAUCUAAAAGGGGGAAACAACCCGGGUGUUCAUCAGCGGACGUACGGGAUAAAAAAGUGUGGUGUCCUCAUACAAUGGAACGUUGGCCGUAAAAGGGGAUUAAGUUCUGAUACACACUACAGCAUGAAUGAACCUAGAAAACAUGCUGAGUGGAAGGAGGCAGUCACAAAAGGCCAUAUAUCGUAUGAUUCCAUGUAUAUGAAAUGUCCAGAACAGGUAAAAUCCAUAGAGACAGAAAGAUUAGUAGUUGCCGAGUGCCGGAAGUAGGGGGGCCUGGGGGAAUGACUGCUUAAUGGGUGUGGGGUUUCCCCGAGGGGUGAUGAGAUGUUCCGGACUAGAUAGUGGUGAUGGUUGCACAACGCUGUGAAUGUACUAAGUGCCGCUAAUGGUAAAUUUUAUGUGUGUUUUACCACAGUAAAAAAAAAAAAAAAAAAAAAA
Molecule: long non-coding RNA, 3103 nt
Organism: Neofelis nebulosa (Clouded leopard)
Lineage: Eukaryota; Metazoa; Chordata; Mammalia; Carnivora; Felidae
Exons: 2
Source: RefSeq, a predicted model, not a curated record